GCUGGCCUCGAAUUCAGAAAUCCACCUGCCUCUGCCUCCCAAGUGCUGAGAUUAAAGGCAUGCACCAUCUUACAUCAUUAACUUCUUAUGCCAGUCCUCAUCUGGAGGUCUAAUCAGCGCAGUAUAGUUCAGAGUUACAGAUCCUAGAUUCUAGGAAGGCUAGUGAAUGUGUCUCCCUGUGUUGACAGGCUCUGCUUUUAAUGAGGAGUAAAAUCAAAAGACAUUUGUCCAAAGAUGUGAUUUGUCCAAAGAUCAUUUCUCCUCUAAAACUCAUGAAUCAUGAUUUCUGAAGCAUCGUUAACCAAAAUGUAAACUGGAGAAAGACAAAACAGGGCCCAUCAUACUCACUUUUGACAUUAGACAACACAGUAAACAGCACUACUCAAAUCUUUGAGAGAGUGGAUUUGGCUUAUUUAUUUGCAAUGGAUUUGGUAUAAUUUUAUAUGAACUGUCUGCAGACUUUGACAGCACAACUUGCUUGCUAAAGAUGUUAUUAAGAGUCCCUCCUACACAAACCUGCCCGACUGUCCUCCCCUUCUGAGGCUGCAUGGCCAUCAGUGUUUUUCUGAAUAAAACGACAUUUUUUAAUCCUUACUUAAAAUCUUAACAAGAAAGAUGACUGAGAAAAUAGAUUUGGCUUUCAAGUAAGUACCCUGGGUUUUCUGUGCAAACAAAGCAUUUCAUUGUAAAUGCUAAUUAUGAUUAGAGACGAGUUAGGUUAAUCACUUGGGUUUUCUUUAAAAUGAAGAAGAUGGCAAAUGUGAUUGUCUGUAAUUGCAUGGGUGACUGUACCCACUGGUGAUUCCCAAGGAGAAAAGAUAAAGUUUAAAGUGAUAGAACUUCUGAAUUCUACCUGGAGCUCACCAUCAGUUGAACCGAGGAAUGAGGUAGAAGAGUCACAACUUCACAUAGAAUCCUUGCUAGUAAGUGUUUGAGGCAUAGGUUGUGGAAGGGCAGAAGGAGACAGGAUUCUUUCGAAAUCAUUUUGGCACAUAUCAUUGGAUGCACAAGGCCCAUUAUGCUACAUAAUGUACAAUUUCAUGAACAUUCUAAUUUUAGAGAAAUUGAUUACACAUCAGCAUAAUAAGAAAAGGGAGGUAAAGGAGAAAUGAAAAAUAUAAUUGUAAAUAAGUACAAAAGGAUUUAGGUGAUAAAUACCUGAAGGUUAAGGCAAGAUGACCAUGUGUUUGGGGCCAGUCCUGGCUAUACAAGGUGACACUGUCUUUUAUUAAAAAGCUUAUUCAGCAAUCAAGUGGAAAAAGCUGUAGCUAUACUAUGUUUAUAGUGCACCAAGCAGCAGCACAGUAAACUUUUUAACACUCAAACACAAUAAGUAAACGAGCCAAUAUGUAUUUGCAACCUUCUUAAAGCACAGAGUCGCUGCUAAAAUGUCUCAUUAUGAUAAUCCCUACAGAGUGGUGAAUCAAAAAUGAAAAAGACUACAGGGGAAACCAAAAUCUUAGUUGACAGUUAAAGAAGAAAAUUAAGAUUUAGGUUGUUUAUAAGGCUUUUAAAAUAAUAAUGGAUGAUCUAGUCUUAUGAUAAAAGAGUCCUAAACAGAAUGCCUCACUAUAGUAAUGACCUCACCGAAGCCUCCAAACGCUUUGAAAUGCUACAAUAUAUUUUGCAAUUUGUAGGCUGAGGAUGGGGGAUACAUUUCAGACACUACUCAAAUCUGUAUAGGGCAGUGGUAUUUACACAAGGACAAUACAUUUCUAGUGGAGUUGACUUUCCCUAUUAGUAUUGAUGGAGUGGCUGAUCUAUUUUAUAUCCUAUCCUAUCAAUGGGGAGGGAGCAGAAGUGGCAUCCGUUUAUCCCUUGUUACAAAUGAGAUGGACAACUUUUUCUUUACUAUAGGUAGAUUACUCAGGAGAGAAAGACAAAGAAACAAAUCCAAGGAAAGCCCAUUAGAAGACACAGUCUUACUCUCUGCUCUGUAAUGCUGAGAUUAAUGAAGAAUCUAGAGAAACGAAAGAUUUCCCUAACAGAUUUAUGCAGCAGCAUUGCUUUAAAGACAGAACUACUUAGCGCCUCUUCCUUUUCUCAGCCAGUGUGUUCUCCCAGUUCUUUUUUAGCAUGAUAAUUUAUUUGUAAUUAUGCAAAUUAAUAACUAAACAAACAUCCAGAGAAUAGACAAGCUUGACUCAACCCAAUCAUUUUCAACGACCCACAAGGAAGAGUUUAUUUUGAGAGCUACAGGACUGAGAAGUACACCAGAAUCAGCUAAUAAUAGCCUCCGAUUUCAAUUGCUUACAACAUCUACUUUUAUAAAAGUAACCAUGGGAAAAAGGCGUAUUUUGCAGUUUCCAAUAAGUUCUGCAAGUACAAUGAUUCUGCCACGUGAAUGUUUUCUUUUGCUGUUAUGUUCUCCUUAUUUCCUACAGCACACCCAAAUGCAAGAACCAAAAUUUGUAUAGCUUGCUAUUCCAUUUAAACGAAACAAUGAAAACACAGCAGAUUUAGCUAGUAUAUUAGGAACAUCAUCCAUAUACAUGCGAUCUAUGUUUACUAUAGUUACACAAAAUGAUAGCUCAUAUUUCUAAGCUAGUCCUAGUUUUCUGGUAGAAGAAACAGUAUAAUACUACUUUAACUUUUCCUAAAUGUCCGUUGUCUCUCAUAACAGCCAUAAAAUUUCAUCACGUGUUUUAUAUGAUUAUUGACACCAAACACUUUUGAAAGCACCCACUGAAGUGUGGAGAGGCCAUUGGGUUAAGAUCUUUUUUCUUUAGGAAGAGGACUUAAGUGUUGUUUGACUGGUUUAGGCACUGUGAGGAUGUCUCUGUGGUACCUUGAUAAAGCAAUUCUGACUCAUUUAACUUGAAAAGAGUGAAAGAUAUAAAUGUAAGUGUGUUUGUCUUCUGUAAAUUAAACUGAAACUAUGUUCUCUAACCACAAAUAGGUCUAUAGAAACAGAAACCCACAAUACCAUUAAGAACCAAAGAUGCUGUAUCUGGGACACACCAAAAAUUAAGUAGAGGAAUUGUUGCAGAAUGGAUGUUCACACAGAUGGCGCUAUUUUACCAGGAAGAUGUAGUCCAUAAAAGACUCAGGCCAAUGUUCUGCACAGUGCAGGUGGAGCUGAGAUGCCCUGUAUAAUGAGAAUAGAAUGACCGAGAAAGCCAGGCAUGCAGCAGGAGCCUGUAUAGCCCCAGCAAUUGGAAGUGGAGCGAAAAAAUAAGAUACAAUUUCCUAAACACAUGAAACUCAAGAAAAAUGAAGACUGAAGUGUGGACACUAUGCCCCUCCUUAGAAGUGGGAACAAAACACCCAUGGAAGGAGUUACAGAAACAAAGUUUGGAGCUGAGAUGAAAGGAUGGACCAUGUAGAGACUGCCAUAUCCAUGGAUCCACCCCAUAAUCAGCAUCCAAACGUUGACACCAUUGCAUAUACUAGCAAGAUUUUAUCGAAAGGACCCAGAUGUAGCUGUCUCUUGUGAGACUAUGCCGGGGCCUAGCAAACACAGAAGUGGAUGCUCACAGUCAGCUAAUGGAUGGAUCACAGGGCUCCCAAUGGAGGAGCUAGAGAAAGUAC
Molecule: long non-coding RNA, 3531 nt
Organism: Mus musculus (house mouse)
Lineage: Eukaryota; Metazoa; Chordata; Mammalia; Rodentia; Muridae
Product: predicted gene 13601
Exons: 3
Source: RefSeq, a predicted model, not a curated record